UGGGGAAUUUUUGGACAAUGGGCGAAAGCCUGAUCCAGCAAUGCCGCGUGUGUGAAGAAGGCCUUCGGGUUGUAAAGCACUUUUGUCCGGAAAGAAAUCCUUGGCUCUAAUACAGUCGGGGGAUACGGUACCGGAAGAAUAAGCACCGGCUAACUACGUGCCAGCAGCCGCGGUAAUACGUAGGGUGCAAGCGUUAAUCGGAAUUACUGGGCGUAAAGCGUGCGCAGGCGGNCUGCUAAGACCGAUGUGAAAUCCCCGGGCUCAACCUGGGAACUGCAUUGGUGACUGGCAGGCUAGAGUAUGGCAGAGGGGGGUAGAAUUCCACGUGUAGCAGUGAAAUGCGUAGAGAUGUGGAGGAAUACCGAUGGCGAAGGCAGCCCCCUGGGCCAAUACUGACGCUCAUGCACGAAAGCGUGGGGAGCAAACAGGAUUAGAUACCCUGGUAGUCCACGCCCUAAACGAUGUCAACU
RNAcentral lists this ribosomal RNA (470 nucleotides) under uncultured bacterium. RNAcentral's name for it is "partial 16S ribosomal RNA". It matches the Rfam family "Bacterial small subunit ribosomal RNA", at positions 355 to 817 of the family's 1533-position model. The record is from RNAcentral.